ACAGGAGAAAGAGGAGAGAGAGAGAGAGGGAGGGAGAGAGAGAGCGAGAGCGCAGAGGCGAGCUGGUGCACGCGAGAGAGGAUCGAGCGAGGGAGCAACAUGAGGACCUACUGGCUGCACAGUAUCUGGAUGCUGGGUUUCUUCCUGUCCCUGUUCUCCUUGCAAGGCUUUCUUUUUUCCAGAAACACCAGAGGUACUCCUGAACAUAUAUGGCAAACACAGAAUGACAAAGGUAAGUGAAGCUUCUUUUGUGGUCGAAUAUGAAUCAGCUGGCCAAUGUGACACAUGGAUUCUCAGACUGAAAAUACUACAGAUUCAUACCUAUUCUUGUUCCAUCCAAGUGCCUGGUUUGUGAGUCUUUACGCUGAAGAAUUAAACAACUGUAACAUUUUCUAAGAUGCAAAGAUACCAAAUAGCCUCAUUAUGUGUGUUGAGGCUUACUGAGUAACUGUGCCUUACUUUAUACUGAUUUCACAUAUGAAAACCCAGAUUUCCCCCCCCAAAAAAAAUGAAUGGAGGAUGCUUACUCACACUGUAAAAUGAUUCACUCUGGGAAUUCUUGAAAUAGCAAACACAUUUAUGACUUGAUUUAUGAUGGGGAGAGAAUGGGGGACAGGUCGCAUGGAACUUUCCCAGCAAAUAUCGGUGGCAUAAAUUGAAAUGCACCUGUUUGUAUUUUCUGGAACUUAUAGAUUAUCUCUGGAUCCCUUCAUAGAUAGAUACUGAAGUGUUGAGUUGUGAUUUGUUUGCUCUUUGGUUUUCUGGAGGCUUAAAAUUGCUCAGCUUCUUUGCUCCUAGAUUAUCCCCUUCACCUCAGCUAGAUGAGGCCUGAAUUUGAGAAUUGAAGAGAAUUAAUUUUUUUAAGCAUGCAGUGUGGAAGGUAGAUUUAGUUGGCAAGAAUGACAGUAAUGUUUUAAAAAGAGGGAAAGAAAUGUCUGUGAGAUAUUAAAAAUUUGGAAAAUCACUACUGGAAAAUUGGCAAUGAGAUCCAUGUAAGAGCCUCUGGUUUGAUCUGGUCAUCUUCCCUAAAAUUCUCUUUCUCUCAUUUUCUCUUUCUUUUCCUACAAUUCUAUGCAAGUUUUCUUGCAUAGCCUGCCAGCAAUUGGCAUAAACAGUAGGUUCUAGUCUAGGCUACUCUAAGGAACUAACUACAGGCACUAUGUGAGUUGGUGCAAGCUCUUCUGCCUUCCUAUAGGAGUGACCUACCUCCUUAUUUACACUAAUUAGCAUAAUAUGAAGUAGUCAAGUGGCUCUCUCUGAUCACCUGUUGGAGAAUUUUCCCCAGUGCCGCUGAUUCACUGUUUGAAUUCUAUCAUUGAUAUCCAUGUAUGAAGUUAUUAAUUAUGAAAUACAGUAGAACAGUCUUACAGUAAAAUACUUGUUUCCCAGACAAAGUUUCACUUGAAGGUCAUUGUUGCAAUUGACUCAUUGUGGUACAUUGUUACAAACUGAAAAUUUCAUUUCUUCCCCAUUGUUCAUUGAAUGCCUUGCCAGAUGAUUUACUGUUGUGUGUCAAAAUGAGCUUUGUUAUGUAUGGAAAAUGUGAGAUGAAUUUACUACUGUGCAUUAUGUAGAUUUCUAAUUCCAUGGAGUGAAGGGGGUGGAAUUAAGGUAAAGAAUACAGACAAGUUGGGCCUACUGUAAAUUGACUCAAUUUUUAUUUAAGUUCAAUCUAUUAGUUUUUUUCUAACUCUUAUUGAAUAAAAAGACAAGGCCUUGCUUUUAUAUUUUAAUUUUUACUGUGAAUAUCUGUUAUUUUUAUCUGCUACUAUAACACAGAAGUAAGAAAUGAGACUUGGCCUUGUUUCUAUAUGCUUUUACCAUGGAAGUUUAACAUUUCUCAUUUGAUUUAUAGUCAAAAACUGACUCAGUGUAUUCUGUAGAAAUUUUCCUCUCCAAGUACAAUCUUAGUGAUGGAUAGCUAUCUAGGUUAUUAGACACAGAGUAAGAGGAGUCUAGACCAACAGUCUGGAAUUGUCCUAAAAAAAUCUAAUGGGAAAUCAGUCCCACAGGAAAUCAGUAACCUUCUCUCUGGUAUCCAGGGAAUUUCUAACUUUGACUUCUUCCUUUGCUCUGUAAAGAAUGUUAUCUUCUUCAUUGUAGUAAUAAUGUAUAGUGCUUUCCCCUCCCUAGAAACAGUCAGCAACAGUCAACAAACAUUUAUUAGGCACCUGUCUAUAUCUAUGCUAAGUGUUGAGGCUGCAAAGUCAAAGACCAAAACUCCAGUACCAUCCCUAUUGGUUUCAUAUAGCUUAAAUUUUAAGAGACAAGAACAUAUAUUAUACAUCAAAUAAAUAUAAUGAGAACAAAUAUAAACACUUGAAGUAGUGAAAUGCAAGGAAAUUUGGGAGGAAGGGAAAUAAUUUUCAGGAUCAAAAAAAAGUUUUAUGUAUAUGAUGGUAUUUUGCUGGGUUUGGAGAAAAAGAUAUACUCUGAUAAAGAGGGAGUAUAUUCCAGGCAUGUGAGAUGUGCGCUGAAAAGGUAAAGAGGAAUGAUAUGUGUCAGGAAGAGGAGAGAAGGAUAUUUUGGCUGAAUCAAAGAAUACAAGAAGAGAAAUUAUAUCCCAUUAUUGAAAGAUAAGAUGGACUAAAGGAGUUUAGAUUUUAUCCUAAAGGCAAUUAGAAAUUGGUAUUAAGUGUAGGAGUUAUAUGAUAUGAUCGAUCCUUAGCAAAAUCAGUUUGACAGCAUAUGUGCCAUUGAGUAGGAAGAUUUUUGAGGAGGCCAUUAAGAGAGACUACUACAACCAACUGUGCAAACAGUGAUGAGGGCAUUAACUAAGGUUUACCUGUAUAAGUAGAAAAAGAGGUCAGAUAUGAGAAAUGUUAUAUAGAUAGAAUGAGGGAAAUUUGGCAACUGACUAAAUAAGCAGAGAAUAAAAUUAAAUGUGGAUCACCAAAUAAGCAUUUUAUACGCUAUUUGUGUAAUAUUUAUUAAUUCAUAGCUGUGUUGAUUUCCAGUUUCAACUUUAAAAAAAUUCUUCUUCUUACUUUUUACUUUUGGAUUUACAAUACUUUCCUUCUGUAGUAGACCUAGGGCAAACUCAUCAAGAAAGGUGAUUCCUAUUGGAUGUCUCUUAUAUCAUGAGUUCCCUCUAGCUGUACAUUCCUGGAGAAAUGAGAGAAUGCCUAUUAAAAACAACAACAAAAUAAGAACAGGGAAGAAGGGGAAAAAAUCAUCCCCCAAGCAGGAUUACAUUGGGAAUUGGCAGAGCACUUUCCACAGCCUCCUUAUCAUUAUCAUUAAAGCUAAUGUCAUUUCAUUCCCCAGUGAAAGAGGUUCCUCUGGGGGCCUUUUUGCCUUUUGACAGUGGAGACUAGUGUGUAGAUUAAUAUGAAUCUCUGCUUCUGCUAAUGACAACUUUUUGUAACAUUAAUAUUUCCUCCUCAGGAAAAUAUUUUUUUUUGACUUGAGGAUCUGAACUCUAAUUUUGUAACAGCUGGUUUGCUCAAGUAAUCAAGCAGUGCUUUUUUUUUUUAAUGUUCAAGCUAGAGUUUUGUAUUGGAAAGGGAGACUAGAAUUAUAAAUUGUCCCUGAAAACUGUGAUUUUGUCCACCUUUGAAACAGGAAAUAGAAAAUGAGGCAAUUAAUUGGAUAACAUAAGGGCAUAAGGGUGAGUUGUGGGAAGUUGGAAGAACUCAACCUCUUUCUGUUCAAAUUAUGAAGAUAAUUUCAGGUAAACAUGCUUUCUUGGACUAGAUUGUCUAGUAUUGUUAUCUCAUUUUGUCUAUACUCUAUGUCAAGAGUUUCCAGGUAAAUAUUGUACUCUAAUUUUUCUUAGAGGGAACAGAUUUAAUUUCUUUCUGUCUUUGCCGAUGUGCUGCAUUUCACAUCCAAACUAUUUAAUUACUUAAAUAAGUUUCUCACUAGAAACUACACCAAUCAAUUAAUGAAAGGAGCUGUUGUUUUUAUUGCUGUGGGGGGUUUUUGUGUGUGAAAAAUCAAACAGUAAUUUAUGGCCUCUCUUCUUUCCCUACAACAAAUGUCUAUAUGUCAACAUUGUUACCUCAAGCCCAGGAGAUUGUUAAGAAGAAUGCCAGGGCAGUCAAAAGUAAUCUAUAUUUUCUUAGGAAAAUAGUCACUAUGAUAUUCAUUUAUUUGAUUAACAUUUAUUAAACACCUGCUAUGUUCCAGGUGCUAUGCUAAGUGUAGGGGAAACAAAAAAGGGAAAAAAAUAGUCCCAGCCCUCAAGGAGCUUACAAUCUAAUGGAGAAAGAAAAAUGCAAAAAAAUAUACAAAGCAGGGUAUAUACCCACUAAAUAGGAAAUAACAAAAAGAUCAAGAGCACUAGAUUUAAGAGGGAUUGGGGAAGGCUUCCUAUAGAAGAUGGGAUUUUAGUUGCAACAGAAGGGAAGUGAAGAUUAGUAGUUGGAAGAGAGGAGAAAGCAUUCCAAACAUGGAGGCUGCCAAUGAGAAUGGUUGGACCAGAGAGAUGGAGUAUCUUGUUCAGGAAAGCAGUCUCCCUUUUUUGAACUUCGAUUUUUCAGUUCCAAAGUAAUCACUGUUCUCAGUUUUUAUUAUAUUGUUUCUAGAUUAAAAAUUAUUAAAUUAUAAAAUAAACAAAGUAUU
This is a long non-coding RNA of Antechinus flavipes (yellow-footed antechinus), 4566 nucleotides long. RefSeq lists it as uncharacterized. The transcript has 3 exons. The record is from RefSeq and is a predicted model, not a curated record. NCBI's taxonomy places the organism in Eukaryota, Metazoa, Chordata, Mammalia, Dasyuromorphia, Dasyuridae.